GGAGAGAUGCCAGAGUGGUUGAACGGGGCGGUCUCGAAAACCGUUGACUGUCACAGGUCCGGGGGUUCGAAUCCCUCUCUCUCCGCCA
This 88-nucleotide transfer RNA is filed under the name Williamsia sp. RNAcentral's name for it is "tRNA-Ser". It matches the Rfam family "tRNA". Rfam says of the family: Transfer RNA (tRNA) molecules are approximately 80 nucleotides in length. Their secondary structure includes four short double-helical elements and three loops (D, anti-codon, and T loops). The record is from RNAcentral. Lineage: Bacteria; Bacillati; Actinomycetota; Actinomycetes; Mycobacteriales; Nocardiaceae.